RNAcentral lists this ribosomal RNA (370 nucleotides) under uncultured organism. RNAcentral's name for it is "bacterial SSU rRNA". It matches the Rfam family "Bacterial small subunit ribosomal RNA", at positions 526 to 896 of the family's 1533-position model. The record is from RNAcentral.
CGAAGGGGGCUAGCGUUGCUCGGAAUUACUGGGCGUAAAGGGCGCGUAGGCGGACAGUUUAGUCAGAGGUGAAAGCCCAGGGCUCAACCUUGGAAUUGCCUUUGAUACUGGCUGUCUUGAGUUCGGGAGAGGUGCGUGGAAUGCCGAGUGUAGAGGUGAAAUUCGUAGAUAUUCGGCGGAACACCAGUGGCGAAGGCGACUCACUGGCCCGAUACUGACGCUGAGGCGCGAAAGCGUGGGGAGCAAACAGGAUUAGAUACCCUGGUAGUCCACGCUGUAAACGAUGAGUGCUAGUUGUCGGCAUGCAUGCAUGUCGGUGACGCAGCUAACGCAUUAAGCACUCCGCCUGGGGAGUACGGUCGCAAGAUUA